RNAcentral lists this ribosomal RNA (551 nucleotides) under uncultured Glomus. RNAcentral describes it as "eukaryotic LSU rRNA". The stretch from base 156 to 309 matches the Rfam family "5.8S ribosomal RNA". Lineage: Eukaryota; Fungi; Glomeromycota; Glomeromycetes; Glomerales; Glomeraceae. The record is from RNAcentral.
GGAAGUAAAAGUCGUAACAAGGUUUCCGUAGGUGAACCUGCGGAAGGAUCAUUACUGAUUUAGCGAACCGAGCGUUAGCGAGGUUUUGCGAUCAACUUGUAUUUAAAACCCACUCUUCAAUGUAUAAAAUUUGUAUUAAUGAUAAAUUAAAAGAUCACUUUCAACAACGGAUCUCUUGGCUCUCGCAUCGAUGAAGAACGUAGCGAAGUGCGAUAAGUAAUGUGAAUUGCAGUAUUCCGUGAAUCAUCGAACCUUUGAACGCAUAUUGCACUUUCUGGUAUUCCGGAAAGUAUGCCUGUUUGAGGGUCAGUUAAAUAAAAAUCGGUGUUGUUGCCGCUUUCCGUGGUGACGCGUCGGAAUUGAGUCGUCUUCGGUUAAGUGACUUAAAAUUUUAUAUGAUUUUCGAACGUAUUUAAAUUUAUUUGAACGUUUGAUAUCGAAUGCUUAUUAGGUUCGGUCAUCCUCAUGACUCGCGCCUAUAAUUUUUCAUUAAAUGACCUCAAAUCAGGUAAGAAUACCCGCUGAACUUAAGCAUAUCAAUAAGCGGAGGA